GACUUGACAUGCAUGGAUUAACUCCUGGAAACAGGAGCCAGGCCUUCGGGUACAACGUGCACAGGUGCUGCAUGGCUGUCGUCAGCUCGUGUCGUGAGAUGUCGGGUUAAGUCCCUUAACGAGCGAAACCCUUGUCUCUAGUUGCCAGCGGGUCAUGCCGGGAACUCUAGAGAGACUGCCGGUGUUAAACCGGAGGAAGGUGGGGAUGACGUCAAGUCCUCAUGGCCUUUAUGAUUAGGGCUGCACACGUCCUACAAUGGCGCGAACAAAGGGAAGCAAACUCGCGAGAGCAAGCAAAUCCCAAAAAACGCGCCUCAGUUCGGAUUGCAGGCUGCAACUCGCCUGCAUGAAGCCGGAAUCGCUAGUAAUCGCGGGUCAGCAUACCGCGGUGAAUAUGUUCCUGAGCCAGACUGGAGA
Molecule: ribosomal RNA, 417 nt
Filed under: uncultured Planctomycetota bacterium
Lineage: Bacteria; Pseudomonadati; Planctomycetota
Description: bacterial SSU rRNA
Rfam family: Bacterial small subunit ribosomal RNA
Source: RNAcentral